RNAcentral lists this ribosomal RNA (497 nucleotides) under uncultured bacterium. RNAcentral's name for it is "partial 16S ribosomal RNA". It matches the Rfam family "Bacterial small subunit ribosomal RNA", at positions 28 to 507 of the family's 1533-position model. The record is from RNAcentral.
GAUGAACGCUGGCGGCGUGCCUAAUACAUGCAAGUCGAGCGAACAGACGAGGAGCUUGCUCCUCUGACGUUAGCGGCGGACGGGUGAGUAACACGUGGAUAACCUACCUAUAAGACUGGGAUAACUUCGGGAAACCGGAGCUAAUACCGGAUAAUAUAUUGAACCGCAUGGUUCAAUAGUGAAAGACGGUUUUGCUGUCACUUAUAGAUGGAUCCGCGCCGCAUUAGCUAGUUGGUAAGGUAACGGCUUACCAAGGCAACGAUGCGUAGCCGACCUGAGAGGGUGAACGGCCACACAGGAACAGAGAAACGGUCCAGACUCCUACGGGAGGCAGAAGUAGGGAAUCUUCCGCAAUGGGCGAAAGCUUGACGGAGCAAAGCCGCGUGAGUGAGGAAGGUCUUCGGAUCGUAAAACUCUGUUAUUAGGGAAGAACAAAUGUGUAAGUAACAAUGCACGUCUUGACGGUACCUAAUCAGAAAGCCACGGCUAACUACGUG